GAAACUACAUUCAGAUCUAUGACUGAUUCCAUCAGUACGGAAAACAUUAAAACGAGUCAGUCUUGAAGAAGCCGCUGAGUUGAAAAGUUGUCACACAAAUUAUUUCCAAUCUAUUUGAAAAUGAAAAAAAAACUAAAAAAUGGUUACAGUGGAUAAGUAAACUUAUAAAGUUGCAAAAAUCAUCAAGUGAUCGACAAAGAAAUUUGAUAAAGUGUUGGAAAUCGUUAGAUUGGUUCAAUCGAUCAUCCUGAUUGCAAGUCAUUGUUGAUUGGAAACGUCCGUGAGCAGAAGCUGGAAAAUUAUCACCAUAUCUGUUUUAUCGAACUACUUUUCUUCAAAAAUUCCAUCUAGGAGAGACCUAAAUAGUAUCAAGGUAAGAAAAUUGAUUUUUUUUGUAAUGCAAUAAGAAUUACAUAAUUUGUGAAAGUUAGCAUUGAUCUUUACAAAGAAAUAUUGGACCUCGCAUAAUUUUUUUAUUAUAAAAAUGUUAAUUAUAUCAACUUAUUUAUGUUGAAUAUGUAUUUUCAAUUAUCGCUUUGGAAAAUAUCAUACUGGAAAAGUUUUUAAUUUCAUUUUUAUUUUUAUUCUUUCUUUUAUCAAUCGUGGUAACCGUUGAACCGUUCACUGGGAAAAGGACAAUCAUUGUCUUUUCCAUGGAAUUGGAAAAGUGAUUCGCAGAUAGCAGCAGAACUCAGAGCAAACAGUAAAGGACGUAAAUCUGCAAAACACAACUUAGAAAAGUGAGCGCUGUAAUAAAAGUAGACGAGGAGCACUACCACUGAUCAAAUUUCAUUAUGUAAUCGUUUAUCUUUACGGGGCAAAAGACAAUCAGUCUUUUGAAGUAUCUUAUUUCUUCUGAAACUGGUAAACACUAUUGGGAGAAAGCAGAAGAGCAUACAUCCAAAAGCUGAGAAGAAGACUUCACGAAACUACUAGAAAGUCGUGCAACACCCCAUAGAAAUUAAUGUAAUACAAUUUUAUUGUGAAU
This is a long non-coding RNA of Phlebotomus papatasi, 988 nucleotides long. RefSeq lists it as uncharacterized. The record is from RefSeq and is a predicted model, not a curated record. NCBI's taxonomy places the organism in Eukaryota, Metazoa, Arthropoda, Insecta, Diptera, Psychodidae. The transcript is spliced from 3 exons.